UGCAGUCGAACGGCAGCACAGUAAGAGCUUGCUCUUAUGGGUGGCGAGUGGCGGACGGGUGAGGAAUACAUCGGAAUCUACUCUUUCGUGGGGGAUAACGUAGGGAAACUUACGCUAAUACCGCAUACGACCUACGGGUGAAAGCGGAGGACCUUCGGGCUUCGCGCGGUUGAAUGAGCCGAUGUCGGAUUAGCUAGUUGGCGGGGUAAAGGCCCACCAAGGCGACGAUCCGUAGCUGGUCUGAGAGGAUGAUCAGCCACACUGGAACUGAGACACGGUCCAGACUCCUACGGGAGGCAGCAGUGGGGAAUAUUGGACAAUGGGCGCAAGCCUGAUCCAGCCAUGCCGCGUGGGUGAAGAAGGCCUUCGGGUUGUAAAGCCCUUUUGUUGGGAAAGAAAAGCAGUCGGUUAAUACCCGAUUGUUCUGACGGUACCCAAAGAAUAAGCACCGGCUAACUUCGUGCCAGCAGCCGCGGUAAUACGAAGGGUGCAAGCGUUACUCGGAAUUACUGGGCGUAAAGCGUGCGUAGGUGGUGGUUUAAGUCUGUUGUGAAAGCCCUGGGCUCAACCUGGGAAUUGCAGUGGAUACUGGAUCACUAGAGUGUGGUAGAGGGUAGCGGAAUUCCCGGUGUAGCAGUGAAAUGCGUAGAGAUCGGGAGGAACAUCCGUGGCGAAGGCGGCUACCUGGACCAACACUGACACUGAGGCACGAAAGCGUGGGGAGCAAACAGGAUUAGAUACCCUGGUAGUCCACGCCCUAAACGAUGCGAACUGGAUGUUGGGUGCAAUUUGGCACGCAGUAUCGAAGCUAACGCGUUAAGUUCGCCGCCUGGGGAGUACGGUCGCAAGACUGAAACUCAAAGGAAUUGACGGGGGCCCGCACAAGCGGUGGAGUAUGUGGUUUAAUUCGAUGCAACGCGAAGAACCUUACCUGGUCUUGACAUCCACGGAACUUUCCAGAGAUGGAUUGGUGCCUUCGGGAACCGUGAGACAGGUGCUGCAUGGCUGUCGUCAGCUCGUGUCGUGAGAAGUUGGGGUUAAAUCCCGCAACGAGAGCAACCCUUGUUCCUUAUUUGCCACCACGUAAUGGGUGGGGAACUCUUAAGGAGAA
RNAcentral lists this ribosomal RNA (1111 nucleotides) under Xanthomonas euvesicatoria. Its description in RNAcentral is "bacterial SSU rRNA". It matches the Rfam family "Bacterial small subunit ribosomal RNA", at positions 56 to 1148 of the family's 1533-position model. Lineage: Bacteria; Pseudomonadati; Pseudomonadota; Gammaproteobacteria; Lysobacterales; Lysobacteraceae. The record is from RNAcentral.